UGCCAGCAGCCACGGUAAUACGCAGGCGGGUAGCGUUGUUCGGAAUUACUGGGCGUAAAGCGCACGUAGGCGGAUUAGAAAGUUAGAGGUGAAAUCCCAGGGCUCAACCCUGGGACUGCCUUUAAAACUCCUAGUCUUGAGUUCGAGAGAGGUGAGUGGAAUUCCAAGUGUAGAGGUGAAAUUCGUAGAUAUUUGGAGGAACACCAGUGGCGAAGGCGGCUCACUGGCUCGAUACUGACGCUGAGGUGCGAAAGUGUGGGGAGCAUACAGGAUUAGGUA
RNAcentral lists this ribosomal RNA (279 nucleotides) under uncultured bacterium. Its description in RNAcentral is "partial 16S ribosomal RNA". It matches the Rfam family "Bacterial small subunit ribosomal RNA", at positions 506 to 784 of the family's 1533-position model. The record is from RNAcentral.